CACCCACAGCUGCCCUGCUAGGAGGGAUUAACAGCCAACCCCACAGGCCAGGCCAGCACCACAUUAAAAAAAAAAAAAAUCCUUUAAUAAUUCAUAGGAUCUGAAUAUGUUUAUCCAGCUCUCCCCAGGGAGCGAUUAGGCCGGUGCUGGGGAGGGCUCAGCCCUCCUCACUCAGCUAUUACAGGUACAUUUGUUUGGGUCUUGCAGGCAAUUUAGGGAUUGUCAGUGGACCACGAAACCUCUUUCAAGAGCUGCAUGCAAUAAAUGGAGUUCAAUCUAGUGAGCAGCCAGCCUUGGGAGAAAAAAAAAAAAACCACCACAACACAGAAGGCUGAUGCAGAGAAAACCCUGCAGCAGCUUUUCCCCAUUCUGUCUCCCUGUUCUCCCCCCUUUUGCCACCCAAAAUCUUCCCUCCAGGCCCCAGAGAGGAAGAGUGCAGGGCUGAUUCAGCCCCCUGAUGGGGAGGGCAAUUUGUUCAGAGGGAGAAGGCUGAAUGCUUCUAUGAGAGUUAUGGCGCAUUAAAGAGAUUGAUAAGUGGAAAUUUAAUAUUUUAUUCCAGCAAUCUGUUCCCAUAAUAGCUUCUCCUGCCUUGCAGGACCUUUGUCAGUCGCAGGCAAGCCAUGUAGUGUGACAUGUAACUAUUUAUUACGGGCAGGUGGGGGACAGAACGAAAGGCUGUGCUUGUGGGCUGCACGUGGGGGUGGUCCUGCACAGAGAGCUGGCCAUGGACACUCACUGGUGUGCUCCCAGCCUUCAUCCUGGCCAUGGACACUCACUGGUGUGCUCCCAGCCUUCAUCCUGGCCAUGGACACUCACUGGUGUGCUCCCAGCCUUCAUCCUGGCCAUGGACACUCACUGGUGUGCUCCCAGCCUUCAUCCUGGCCAUGGACACUCACUGGUGUGCUCCCAGCCUUCAUCCUGGCCAUGGACACUCACUGGUGUGCUCCCAGCCUUCAUCCUGGCCAUGGACACUCACUGGUGUGCUCCCAGCCUUCAUCCUGGCCAUGGACACUCACUGGUGUGCUCCCAGCCUUCAUCCUGGCCAUGGACACUCACUGGUGUGCUCCCAGCCUUCAUCCUGGCCAUGGACACUCACUGGUGUGCUCCCAGCCUUCAUCCUGGCCAUGGACACUCACUGGUGUGCUCCCAGCCUUCAUCCUGGCCAUGGACACUCACUGGUGUGCUCCCAGCCUUCAUCCUGGCCAUGGACACUCACUGGUGUGCUCCCAGCCUUCAUCCUGGCCAUGGACACUCACUGGUGUGCUCCCAGCCUUCAUCCUGGCCAUGGACACUCACUGGUGUGCUCCCAGCCUUCAUCCUGGCCAUGGACACUCACUGGUGUGCUCCCAGCCUUCAUCCUGGCCAUGGACACUCACUGGUGUGCUCCCAGCCUUCAUCCUGGCCAUGGACACUCACUGGUGUGCUCCCAGCCUUCAUCCUGGCCAUGGACACUCACUGGUGUGCUCCCAGCCUUCAUCCUGGCCAUGGACACUCACUGGUGUGCUCCCAGCCUUCAUCCUGGCCAUGGACACUCACUGGUGGGAUCCCAGUCUUCAUCCUGGUCAUGGAUAUUUGCACUUGUGUCAUCCCAUUUGUAUCCUGCCCAUGGACAUUCACACCUGUGUGAUCCCAUUUGUAUCCUGCCCAUGGACAUUCUCACUUGUAGGAUCCCCUUUUCAUCCUGCCCAUGGACAUUCAUACCUGUGUGAUCCCAUUUUUAUCCUGCCCAUGGACAUUCACACCUGUGUGAUCCCAUUUUUAUCCUGUCCAUGGAUAUUCACAGGUGUGAUCCCAUUUUUAUCCUGCCCAUGGACAUUCACACCUGUGUGAUCCCAUUUUUGUCCUGCCCAUGGAUAUUCACAGGUGUGAUCCCAUUUUUAUCCUGCCCAUGGACAUUCACACCUGUGUGAUCUCAUUUUUAUCCUGCUUAUGGACAUUCACACCAGUGUGAUCCCAUUUUUAUCCUUCUCAUAGCCAUUCACACCUGUAGUCCCAUUUUUAUCCUGCCCAUGGACAUUCACACCUGUGUGAUCCCAUUUUUAUCCUGUCCAUGGACAUUCACACCUGUGUGAUCCCAUUUUUAUCCUGUCCAUGGACAUUCACACCUGUGUGAUCCCAUUUUUAUCCUGUCCAUGGACAUUCACACCUGUGUGAUCCCAUUUUUAUCCUGUCCAUGGACAUUCACACCUGUGUGAUCCCAUUUUUAUCCUGUCCAUGGACAUUCACACCUGUGUGAUCCCAUUUUUAUCCUGUCCAUGGACAUUCACACCUGUGUGAUCCCAUUUUUAUCCUGUCCAUGGAGAUCCCAUUUUCCCCCCCCCCCCCCCCCCCCCCCCCCCCCCCCCCCCCCCCCCCCCCCCCCCCCC
This 2366-nucleotide long non-coding RNA is filed under the name Ficedula albicollis (Collared flycatcher). RNAcentral describes it as "lncRNA (ENSFALG00000026097.1)". Lineage: Eukaryota; Metazoa; Chordata; Aves; Passeriformes; Muscicapidae. The record is from RNAcentral.